ACCAGCUCAGUGGAUAACUCGCCUCCCAGAAACCCAAACUCUGGCCCCGUGAUGCUCGCCCACACGCGCCUCCCGCCUCCGCCUCCGCAUCCCGCCCAAAUCCUGCCCGCCCGCCUCGCCGGAGGCGGCGGUAUGGAGUUCCGCCGCAAGCUCCACUUCCUCUCGGCCGAGCUCCAUCUCGACCCGUUCCCGCUCCUCGCCCUUCAUCCUGAGCUCCGCUCCGCGCCGCUCGCGCUUCUCCAUGCCUCCCUCCGCCUCCUCCUCUCACACGGACUCUCCGCCGGCGACGCCUCCCGCGUCUUCUCGGCAUUCCCGUCGCUCCUCACCUCUCCUCCUGAGGAGUCCCUCCGCUUCCUCUCCGCCGCCGCGCCGCUACCCCCUCCUCUCCUCCGCGCCGCGGUGGUCCGUUCCCCUCGCCUCCUCGCCGCGUCCAUCCCGGACACCCUCCGCCCCGCGCUUUACUUCCUUCGCCACCGCGUUUCCCUGCGACGGAGACCCCUUCCGCUCGCUGCUGCCCUGCUCCUCGCUUUCUCCGUCGACCGCACACUCCUCCCCAAGCUCCUCUUCCUUGGCAAAGCCACGGGGCUCCCAGACCGCGCCAUCUGCACCAUUAUUCGCCGCGCCCCCGCCAUUCUCUCCUAUGGUAUCGAGACCAACCUCACGCCCAAGCUCAAGUUCCUCGCCGACGGCAUGAGCAUGGACCCAGCCGCGGAGCUCACCGAGUUCCCACACUACUUCGCGUUCAGCUUGGAGGGGAGGAUCAUGCCGAGGCACGAAGCAUUGAGGCUGAGGGGCGUUGAUAUGUCACUAAAGGAAAUGCUCAAGAGCAGCGAUGAUGAGUUCAAGGAGCGGAUCUUAGAUGCAACGCUGUCGGGCAAUAUGCAGAGGAUGUGAACCUGCACUCAGAAGGAGGGAGAUGGGACUACUCUUUUGAAAAUUCCUGGGAGGCGAGACAAGUGUGCUGCAUGCGCCAUGCUUGUUGAGGACAAGGCGAGAUAUUGGGAUAUAGCAGGAGUUCAAGAGGCAGGGCUGGUAUAUUGAUCCGAUAGCAGCCCAAGCUAAUACUUAGGCCCAGACGGGUAAGAAUGAAGCGGGAGGGUACGGGAUGGCUAUGCAUUUCGUUUUUUCCUGAGUUCUACACGUGAAAAGACUGCUAUCAUGCAUAUAUAUGUAUGUAUGGACAUAUAUACUGAUUCCCUUUUGCCAAAAUUGUUGGGUAUGCAUUGCAUACCCUUGAAUAAGUCUAGCUCCGCCUUUGAACAUAUGAGUGGUAUCAUAAAAGAAUUUAUUUAUUAGACUAUAGACUCAUUAUGUUUUCAAAUGUGUGAUGUUACAAUAACUAGCUAAGUUACCACAAACCUCUUUUUCUUUAUUAAUUAGUUGCCACAUAAGCAUUUUUGUAUUGAAAUGUGUGAUGUUACUAGUUAAGUUACUGCCAUUGUGACUAGUCUGAGGGAAAUGAAUCUCUCCAAGCUUAGGCUUUCGCCUAGC
This is an RNA transcript of Triticum aestivum (bread wheat), 1491 nucleotides long. It is a transcript of the gene named transcription termination factor MTEF1, chloroplastic, with no coding region annotated. Lineage: Eukaryota; Viridiplantae; Streptophyta; Magnoliopsida; Poales; Poaceae. The transcript is spliced from 3 exons. The record is from RefSeq and is a predicted model, not a curated record.